GCUUACCUGCAAGUCGAGCGGGGAAGGGUAGCUUGCUACCUGACCUAGCGGCGGACGGGUGAGUAAUGCUUAGGAAUCUGCCUAUUAGUGGGGGACAACAUUCCGAAAGGAAUGCUAAUACCGCAUACGCCCUACGGGGGAAAGCAGGGGAUCUUCGGACCUUGCGCUAAUAGAUGAGCCUAAGUCAGAUUAGCUAGUUGGUGGGGUAAAGGCCUACCAAGGCGACGAUCUGUAGCGGGUCUGAGAGGAUGAUCCGCCACACUGGGACUGAGACACGGCCCAGACUCCUACGGGAGGCAGCAGUGGGGAAUAUUGGACAAUGGGCGAAAGCCUGAUCCAGCCAUGCCGCGUGUGUGAAGAAGGCCUUUUGGUUGUAAAGCACUUUAAGCGAGGAGGAGGCUACUUAAAUUAAUACUCUAGGAUAGUGGACGUUACUCGCAGAAUAAGCACCGGCUAACUCUGUGCCAGCAGCCGCGGUAAUACAGAGGGUGCGAGCGUUAAUCGGAUUUACUGGGCGUAAAGCGUGCGUAGGCGGCUUUUUAAGUCGGAUGUGAAAUCCCUGAGCUUAACUUAGGAAUUGCAUUCGAUACUGGGAAGCUAGAGUAUGGGAGAGGAUGGUAGAAUUCCAGGUGUAGCGGUGAAAUGCGUAGAGAUCUGGAGGAAUACCGAUGGCGAAGGCAGCCAUCUGGCCUAAUACUGACGCUGAGGUACGAAAGCAUGGGGAGCAAACAGGAUUAGAUACCCUGGUAGUCCAUGCCGUAAACGAUGUCUACUAGCCGUUGGGGCCUUUGAGGCUUUAGUGGCGCAGCUAACGCGAUAAGUAGACCGCCUGGGGAGUACGGUCGCAAGACUAAAACUCAAAUGAAUUGACGGGGGCCCGCACAAGCGGUGGAGCAUGUGGUUUAAUUCGAUGCAACGCGAAGAACCUUACCUGGUCUUGACAUAGUAAGAACUUUCCAGAGAUGGAUUGGUGCCUUCGGGAACUUACAUACAGGUGCUGCAUGGCUGUCGUCAGCUCGUGUCG
This 1024-nucleotide ribosomal RNA is filed under the name Acinetobacter johnsonii. RNAcentral describes it as "bacterial SSU rRNA". It matches the Rfam family "Bacterial small subunit ribosomal RNA", at positions 46 to 1067 of the family's 1533-position model. Lineage: Bacteria; Pseudomonadati; Pseudomonadota; Gammaproteobacteria; Moraxellales; Moraxellaceae. The record is from RNAcentral.